UGGCGGACGGGUGAGUAAUGUCUGGGAAACUGCCUGAUGGAGGGGGGUAACUACUGGAAACGGUAGCUAAUACCGCAUAACGUCGCAAGACCAAAGAGGGGGACCUUAGGGCCUCUUGCCAUCGGAUGUGCCCAGAUGGGAUUAGCUAGUAGGUGGGGUAAAGGUUCACCUAGGCGACGAUCCCUAGCUGGUCUGAGAGGAUGACCAGCCACACUGGAACUGAGACACGGUCCAG
RNAcentral lists this ribosomal RNA (235 nucleotides) under uncultured bacterium. RNAcentral describes it as "partial 16S ribosomal RNA". It matches the Rfam family "Bacterial small subunit ribosomal RNA", at positions 96 to 334 of the family's 1533-position model. The record is from RNAcentral.